Molecule: transfer RNA, 74 nt
Organism: Bacteroides pectinophilus CAG:437
Lineage: Bacteria; Bacillati; Bacillota; Clostridia; Eubacteriales
Rfam family: tRNA
About the family: Transfer RNA (tRNA) molecules are approximately 80 nucleotides in length. Their secondary structure includes four short double-helical elements and three loops (D, anti-codon, and T loops). Further hydrogen bonds mediate the characteristic L-shaped molecular structure. tRNAs have two regions of fundamental functional importance: the anti-codon, which is responsible for specific mRNA codon recognition, and the 3' end, to which the tRNAs corresponding amino acid is attached (by aminoacyl-tRNA synthetases). tRNAs cope with the degeneracy of the genetic code in two manners: having more than one tRNA (with a specific anti-codon) for a particular amino acid; and 'wobble' base-pairing, i.e. permitting non-standard base-pairing at the 3rd anti-codon position.
Source: Rfam
GCGCUAAUAGCUCAAUUGGAUAGAGCGUUCGGCUACGGACCGAAAGGUUGGGGGUUCGAGUCCCUUUUGGCGCA